GAUGAAGAACGCAGCGAAAUGCGAUAAGUAGUGUGAAUUGCAGAAUUCAGUGAAUCAUCGAAUCUUUGAACGCACAUUGCACCUCUCGGUAUUCCGGGAGGUAUGCCUGUUCGAGCGUCAUUUGUACCCUCAAGCUCUGCUUGGUGUUGGGUGUUUGUUCCGCCUCUGUGUGUGAACUCGCCUCAAAACAAUUGGCAGCCGGCGUACUUGUUUCGGAGCGCAGCACAUUUUGCGAUCCAGAUCAACGUACAGCGGCAUCCAAGAAGCCUUAUUUAACGCUCUUGACCUCGGAUCAGGUAGGGAUACCCGCUGAACUUAAGCAUAUCAAUAAGCGGAGGA
This 339-nucleotide unclassified non-coding RNA is filed under the name soil metagenome. RNAcentral's name for it is "partial contains 5.8S ribosomal RNA, internal transcribed spacer 2, and large subunit ribosomal RNA". The stretch from base 1 to 120 matches the Rfam family "5.8S ribosomal RNA", at positions 35 to 154 of the family's 154-position model. The record is from RNAcentral.